Molecule: ribosomal RNA, 787 nt
Filed under: Pseudephebe pubescens
Lineage: Eukaryota; Fungi; Ascomycota; Lecanoromycetes; Lecanorales; Parmeliaceae
Description: eukaryotic LSU rRNA
Rfam family: 5.8S ribosomal RNA (bases 466-619)
Source: RNAcentral
AAGUCGUAACAAGGUUUCCGUAGGUGGCACGUUUGCCUGCGCAUAGCCCCCGCAGCGACACUAAACAACUGCGCCAGUCGCCCCUGAUUUGGGGGCCGGCAACGCCAUCACUGUGCGCUGGGAAACCCGCUCCAGGGCUGACCAGCAGCUUUGGGAGGCCUCGCUCGAGGUCCCCCGAGUCCACAGAUCAGACGAUAGCGGCCACUUCGGUGGUUGAGAUAUGACCGGCCUCGGCUGUCACCAGCUAGAGACUUCGCGGAACCUGCGGAAGGAUCAUUACCGAGAAGGGGCCUCGCCGCCCCGGGGGCCUCGGCCUCCAACUCUUUACCCUUUGUCUUCUUACCUUUGUUGCUUUGGCGAGCCUCGGGGGACCCCCCGGCUGGCUUUCGGGCCGGUGAGCGCUCGCCAGAGGCCCAUCCAAUCCUGUUCAAAACAUAGUGUCCGAGUACAAAACGCAAUAAUAAAAACUUUCAACAACGGAUCUCUUGGUUCCAGCAUCGAUGAAGAACGCAGCGAAAUGCGAUAAGUAAUGUGAAUUGCAGAAUUCAGUGAAUCAUCGAAUCUUUGAACGCACAUUGCGCCCCUCGGUAUUCCGGGGGGCAUGCCUGUUCGAGCGUCAUUACACCCCUCAAGCGUAGCUUGGUAUUGGGUCUUCGCCCCCACGGCGUGCCCGAAAAUCAGUGGCGGUCCGGGGUGACUUCAAGCGCAGUAAUCUUUUAUCCCGCUUCGAAAGUCCCUCCGUGGCCUGCCAGACAACCCCUUAUACUUCUAUCAUUGACCUCGGAUC